GUGAACACUGCAAAUUCCUUCCCAAACUCCUUUGUCAUUCUAAUUUGCAUUCCAAAAGCUCCAGCAGCUGAUUGGUUAGGCUUGAAUCCAAGAAGCUGAUGGAUCAGACAGAGGAUGCACUAUAUUAACACCACAUAGGGGAGACUGAACUCACCAUUGGAAGGUAGACACUGGGAUGCUCUGGAUGAAUACUGAACACACCUUCGUAAGGAAUGUUAGACUGGAUUUCCUUUGCAAAACAGAACUGAACUCACUGCCACUGGGAUUCUCUGAAGGAUUAUGUUAGUCAUUCUUUGGAAGCAUACUAUAGAAGUAAUUGAAGUCUGAAAUGUCAGGAUCUACUGAAAUACCACAACUGCUCAUGUC
This is a long non-coding RNA of Clupea harengus (Atlantic herring), 366 nucleotides long. RefSeq lists it as uncharacterized. The transcript is spliced from 3 exons. The record is from RefSeq and is a predicted model, not a curated record. NCBI's taxonomy places the organism in Eukaryota, Metazoa, Chordata, Actinopteri, Clupeiformes, Clupeidae.